This 253-nucleotide ribosomal RNA is filed under the name uncultured bacterium. RNAcentral's name for it is "partial 16S ribosomal RNA". It matches the Rfam family "Bacterial small subunit ribosomal RNA", at positions 524 to 776 of the family's 1533-position model. The record is from RNAcentral.
GACGAAGGUGGCGACCGUUGUUCGGAAUCACUGGGCAUAAAGAGCACGUAGGCGGCAAGGUAUGUCGGGUGUGAAAUCCCUCGGCCCAACCGAGGAAUUGCGCCCGAAACUACCUUGCUUGAGGAUGGAAGGGGAGCGUGGAAUUCCUGGUGGGGCGGUGAAAUGCGUUGAUAUCAGGAGGAACACCGGCGGCGAAGGCGACGCUCUGGUCCAUUUCUGACGCUGAGGUGCGAAAGCCAGGGGAGCAAACGGG